This 71-nucleotide transfer RNA is filed under the name Ovis aries (sheep). It matches the Rfam family "tRNA". From Rfam's summary of the family: Transfer RNA (tRNA) molecules are approximately 80 nucleotides in length. Their secondary structure includes four short double-helical elements and three loops (D, anti-codon, and T loops). Lineage: Eukaryota; Metazoa; Chordata; Mammalia; Artiodactyla; Bovidae. The record is from Rfam by way of RNAcentral.
UCUCUGGUGGCUCAGUGGUAAAGAACCUGCCUGCGAUGCAGAAGACCCAGGUUCCAUCCCUGGGUUGGGAA